Propithecus coquereli (Coquerel's sifaka) is the source of this 104-nucleotide small nucleolar RNA. The record is from Ensembl. NCBI's taxonomy places the organism in Eukaryota, Metazoa, Chordata, Mammalia, Primates, Indriidae.
AUCUUUUUGUAGCUCAUAAGCAUGAUGACUGGGUUUUCACAUGCCUGUGUGAGAUGUGCCUCCCUCAAACCUUGUUAAGACAUCAGCACAUUACUCAUCUGACG